UAUUUGCAAUCCUGUUUGCAACUGCAUUUCCACUGUCAGCAAGGCAGUCCUGUCAUUUAAGCGCUGUGGGUUUGUUGGAUGUAUCAAGCGGGUUAAAGAAGACGCGAUAUCCAUCUGAACGGACACCAAUCACUGCCCCUUUGGACCCCGUUUGAGAAAGUCCUCAGCGAGCCGCCCACAGCACACAGCGCUACUGUCCACAUUGGUCCAGAAGCUGACUGGAUUUGUCUGUGUGCCACAACAACAUACUGGCAGUGGUCAAUUAAUGUGCACAAGUUAAAAAACUGCAGUUCUGAAGUGGAACAACAAAGCCACAGCUCAUGAGUUGGAUUCUGCUGUGGCCGAUCACCUCAAGCAUGCCCCCUGCAGAGCUUUUAACUUUUUUUUUUCUUUUCUUGUUUGACUUCUCAGAAACUAAAAUGCAAGAUUUUGUCUUGUUAAAUAAUCAUCUUGAUCUCCUUUACAUUAAAACAUUGAAAAUCAUGUACAAUACUGACACAGCUUAUGGUUCAAAGGUUUGAAAAUUCUUUCUGAAUUGAUGCAUAGGAUCUUUGUCUUAGUCCUAACGAAGUUCAUGGUCCAGUUUUAUGUUCCACAAAUGAAAUUAAUAAUAAGUACACGUUUUCAAUAAAGUUUCCAUUUA
This is a long non-coding RNA of Colossoma macropomum (tambaqui), 643 nucleotides long. RefSeq lists it as uncharacterized. The record is from RefSeq and is a predicted model, not a curated record. The transcript is spliced from 3 exons. Lineage: Eukaryota; Metazoa; Chordata; Actinopteri; Characiformes; Serrasalmidae.